CGCUAACACUCCUACGGGAGGCAGCAGUGGGGAAUAUUGCACAAUGGGGGAAACCCUGAUGCAGCCAUGCCGCGUGUGUGAAGAAGGCCUUCGGGUUGUAAAGCACUUUCAGUAGGGAGGAAGGUAGUGUAGUUAACACCUGCACUAUUUGACGUUACCUACAGAAGAAGCACCGGCUAACUCCGUGCCAGCAGCCGCGGUAAUACGGAGGGUGCGAGCGUUAAUCGGAAUUACUGGGCGUAAAGCGCAUGCAGGCGGCCUGUUAAGUCAGAUGUGAAAGCCCGGGGCUUAACCUCGGAAUUGCAUUUGAAACUGGCAGGCUAGAGUCUUGUAGAGGGGGUAGAAUUUCAGGUGUAGCGGUGAAAAUGCGUAGAGAUCUGAAGGAAUACCAGUGGCGAAGGCGGCCCCCUGGACAAAGACUGACGCUCAGAUGCGAAAGCGUGGGGAGCAAACAGGAUUAGAUACCCUGGUAG
Molecule: ribosomal RNA, 473 nt
Filed under: uncultured bacterium
Lineage: Bacteria
Description: bacterial SSU rRNA
Rfam family: Bacterial small subunit ribosomal RNA
Source: RNAcentral